RNAcentral lists this long non-coding RNA (425 nucleotides) under Capsicum annuum. RNAcentral's name for it is "long non-coding RNA (CANN_LNC018372)". Lineage: Eukaryota; Viridiplantae; Streptophyta; Magnoliopsida; Solanales; Solanaceae. The record is from RNAcentral.
GGGCAAAAUUUCUCUGGAUACAAACAAACAAUCGAUUUAUUUCUCUUUUUUCUACUGUUUCACCUAAAUCCAACCACUCUCUCGAUUUGGUUCUUCGAGUGCUUAUUUGUUCUCUGUAUAGCUCCCUAUUUCUCCGAUUUUCUUCCCUGAUGUGCGUGUGUGCAUGCUGGUUACUAUGUGUGCACGUCUCCUUGUGUGUGUUCGAUUUUGUGAGGUGAAGAAGAUGAUCCCCUCCCCGUAAAUGGUAAAAUAGAGGAAUAUAUAUGUGUUGUUGUGUAUGUUUUCAGUCCGUGUAUGUGAGUUAAUGGCGAGGGUGAUCUGUUGGUGAUGGUGUGAUAUGAGGGUGUGUGAAUAUUUGUAAGGCAGCCUUCUUCUUUAUGUAUGUGGUACAAGCGACCAAAAUAUACUGCAAACGUAAAAAAAAU